GACAGUUCGGUCCCUAUCCGUCGUGGGCGUAGGAAAUUUGAGAGGAGCUGUCCUUAGUACGAGAGGACCGGGAUGGACAUACCUCUGGUGUACCAGUUGUCGUGCCAACGGCAUAGCUGGGUAGCUAUGUAUGGACGGGAUAAGUGCUGAAAGCAUCUAAGCAUGAAGCCCCCCCUCAAGAUGAGAUUUCCCAACUUCGGUUAUAAGAUCCCUCGAAGAUGACGAGGUUAAUAGGUUCGAGGUGGAAGCGUGGUGACACGUGGAGCUGACGAAUACUAAUCGAUCGAAGACUUAAUCAA
This 299-nucleotide ribosomal RNA is filed under the name Staphylococcus epidermidis NIHLM061. RNAcentral's name for it is "partial 23S ribosomal RNA". It matches the Rfam family "Bacterial large subunit ribosomal RNA", at positions 2625 to 2925 of the family's 2925-position model. Lineage: Bacteria; Bacillati; Bacillota; Bacilli; Caryophanales; Staphylococcaceae. The record is from RNAcentral.